GUGUCAGCAGCCGCGGUAAUACGGAGGGUGCAAGCGUUAAUCGGAAUUACUGGGCGUAAAGCGUGCGUAGGCGGUUAUUUAAGUCAGAUGUGAAAGCCCCGGGCUUAACCUGGGAACUGCAUUUGAUACUGGGUAACUAGAGUUGAGUAGAGGAGAGGGGAAUUUCAGGUGUAGCGGUGAAAUGCGUAGAGAUCUGAAGGAACACCAGUGGCGAAGGCGCCUCUCUGGACUCAAACUGACGCUGAGGUACGAAAGCGUGGGUAGCAAACAGGAUUAGAAACCCCUGUAGUCC
Molecule: ribosomal RNA, 292 nt
Filed under: uncultured bacterium
Lineage: Bacteria
Description: partial 16S ribosomal RNA
Rfam family: Bacterial small subunit ribosomal RNA
Source: RNAcentral